AUCUGAUCAACCAUAAAGCAUCUUACAUAACAGGAUGUAGGUACAUUUCAUUCUUCUAUUGUGAUUAGACACAGGAUCAUCUCAUUAUACAGCUGAGUGAAACCAGAAGAGGCUCUUCACAUUGUUAUACAACUCACAGUUGGAACCCUUUUUUUUCCUCUUGUUUCCAAAAAUAUGUGUAAGCACACUACAGACGACCUGGAAAACCUCUCUGCAGUCAUCACACGGUUUCCCUGGAGCUUCCUGUUUAGGAAAAUUAGCACAAACAGACAAUAAGAAGAAAACAUCAGUCUCGUUAGUACGAACGACACAAAUCCCUAUCUGGGCUGCAAGUUAUUGCUCUAUUAUCUACUGUCUAAUAUGAUUUCUUCCUGUCAGUGAGUUGGAUCUUCAGAAAUUUUUGUGCCUGUUCCCAGAAUGUCACAGCCAUUUGCAACAUGGAGUGAGCAUCCCUGGUUGCUUCUUGGUUUUCUCAGUGUUUUGGAAGCUGCAUUAGCAAGAAAUAACUUCAGUGAAUUGAGAAAACAAAAGUGUAAGAGUUAAGAACAAAGAGACUCUUUUGAAAAGAAAACAGAACAAAGGGGAAAAAAAAAAGCCAAGACUUUUACCAACUCUUUUCUUAAACUAAAGAAAAGCUGGU
Molecule: long non-coding RNA, 640 nt
Filed under: Anas platyrhynchos platyrhynchos (common mallard)
Lineage: Eukaryota; Metazoa; Chordata; Aves; Anseriformes; Anatidae
Description: lncRNA (ENSAPLG00000023890.1)
Source: RNAcentral